Molecule: long non-coding RNA, 971 nt
Organism: Patella vulgata (common limpet)
Lineage: Eukaryota; Metazoa; Mollusca; Gastropoda; Patellidae
Exons: 3
Source: RefSeq, a predicted model, not a curated record
AUACUGUUAUUUUAUUGUGUAAAAUAUGUCUAUAUUAUAUUUUAUACUGUUAUUUUAUAUUAUUUACAGUAUAUAUUGUAAGAUCUUUAAUAAUGAGAACGUCUAUAAGACAAGAAAUAAUAUGCCAGCGAAAAGCCUAUGAAAUGUCGGGAAGAGUAAAAUGUCCAAGCGCUUUUAGUUGAAAUAGAGAAUUAUAAUUUGGUAUCAGAUAUGCUGGACGAUUUGGAAAGAGAAUAAGGAGGUAGAGAAGAGUCAGCUACAGAAAGAAGAGAAGAGUCAGUUAAAGAAUGAUGCCCGUGCAAAAUUCAACGAAACACAUAAACCACGAUCAAUUUUAGUAGCAAAUAUGAUGGACGAUUUGCGUAGAAGGGUCAUCUACAGAAGAAAGAGAAGAAUCGUCUAGAAUAAAGACUGGUGCAGACAUAAUGAAGACUUCGUGUUUUGAUAAAAUAAUGAAAAAAGAAAAAUAUAUAGAAGCUGAUGAGAUUGAAGACAAUAUUAUAGAUGGAGGAUAUUGUUGUCUGUUUGGGGGUUUUGGUACGAGGGGAUCGAUUUCAGGUUGAAAAGAUUGAACAAGUUUACUACAGAAUCGAAAGAAAGUAACGUAGAGCCAGAUCCUUUAAAUAAAUUUUACAAUCUAUUUAACUAUAACUAUGGAAGACCUGUUGAUCGUGACCACAAAUAUACUCAGUAUACAAAUAACAACAGGAAAAAAGACGACAGAUUGAACGAAAAAGUAACAAAAUCCAGAAGAUCAGUUCGCGUAAGACUGUUAUCAUUGUUCUGCUGUGGAAGAAAAGAGGACUAAAAGAUUGUUAUAGUGAUUGUCAAAAUGUGCAAUAAUUGUAGAUUUAAACUUUUCGUUGUGAUUUUUGUAUACAUGUAAUUUGUAUUUUUUAUAUAAACUCAAACGUGGUCUGUUUCUCUGUCCAUAAAUGUGUAUAUGUUUGCAAGCAUGUUGGGAUAUUUUU